AUUCUAGGCCGGGAGAGCCGAUGCCUUUGCAGUAAUUCCCACCGUGGAGGUUUGUGGAAAGACCGCUUUCCAUGGAGAGUAAAGGCCGGCUGGAAAGUCCCCAAGCGUCACUGCUACAACAUGGUGACCUCCUGGAGAACAGGGACGUGUGGUGUUUCUCUUUGUAUUUGUCUUUUGUUCCCAGAACAGGGAUUGUCAAUGAGGUAGAUCAGAUUCCCAUUCGACGGGCAACCAGUCAAUGAAACAGACACACCUGCAC
RNAcentral lists this long non-coding RNA (259 nucleotides) under Homo sapiens (human). RNAcentral's name for it is "HSALNT0390483". The record is from RNAcentral. Lineage: Eukaryota; Metazoa; Chordata; Mammalia; Primates; Hominidae.